AUGCUCUGUGUGGGUUUAGCAGUGGGUAGUUCAGUUCACCGAGGCCCGCAUCUGGACAUCAGUGAUACCCUGGAGGAGAAUGUGGCUCACGGACAAAUCACUUUAAACGAGAUGUUCAGAGAGGUGGAGAAACUGAUGGAGGACACACAGCACAAGCUUGAUGAGGCUGUGCAUCAGAUGGAGAACGAGACUACAAAAUCACUGUUAAAUGGACGCGACUUUCCAGACAACUUUCACGAUGAAACUACGACAGAAAUUAAGGUUCAUAAUUUCAUAUGCAGUUGAAGUCAGAAUUAUUAACCCCCUGAAUUAUUAGCCCCCGGUUAUUUAUUAUUUUUUGCUAAGUUCAGUUUAACAGAGAGAAGAUUUUUUUUAACACAUUUCUGAACAUAAUAGUUUAGAAUUGUCUCCAGUGCAAAUAAUCCUCUGUCAUCCCACUCACUGAGGACACUGCAGUGUAGGUGAGAAACUUGUUGAAUGCUUAAAAGUGUAUUUCAGAAUUUCUGAGUCCAUGUUUGCAAAUCUAGAGCCUGUAGUGGUGAACAAUGCUCAAACACUAUUUAACCACGUGCUGGAAUACUUAGCCUGCUAUUUAUUUUCACACAUUCAUGUUUUCAUAUCUUAAUCUGGCCUGUGACAUGCAUGAGCUAUCACUUAAAAUUUCUCUAUUUAUAGUCUAAUUGUACAUUAUAAGUUAAUAACUAAUAAAUUGUACUUGUUUUCUAACUAACAAUAUAGUAACUGCAAUAAAUGUGUUUCUCACUGUUGAUUUUAACAGAAUAACUCAAAUUGACUAAUUAGACUUUAUUGUAAAGUGUUACCAGCGGUAUUUUAUAAUCCAUUUGCAAUUAAAUUUUUAAACAUUUGUAUAACAUGUUUCGAUACACAAAGUAGUUUUAUACCUGUGUUGAAUAUUGUGAUCUUAUUACUGCAUAUCCUGAUCAAAGCUUUAACAAGUAAUUGCAGCUAGAAAAGUUAACGUCAUCAUAAGCUUGAUAUUAGCUAUUGCUCUGUUACAGUAAUUGUCAAUGUGGACUCUAGCAUGUCUACAUGUUCUGUCUAGAGACUGGAUUCUGAGAGCAAGAUCCUGUGAAGUGUCCAUCAAAGCUGAAGAGUAGAACUGGGUGUAAGUUUGAAAUGCAACAGAAUGUGUGUAUCUGUCUGCCUAAGUAUUGCUCUGACUGUGAUUUUGGUGUCACAUGUAGGUUCAGCAACUGUUCUGAGACCGAGUAAAAAUGUCAUGAACCGGAACAUAUUUAUCUUGUAUUGUUUGUGUUUAAUUCUGCACAAUAUUCCAGGAAAAUAUAUUUUACUACCACAACAAUUAACCCAGCAUGUGAUAUUAUUCAAACUGUAGAUUUCAUCUGUUAUUCAUCACUGUAUAUCUCUUUAUAGACGUGCCCGUUUUAAUGUUCAGAUUUUUUAAAAUGUUUGUACAGAUUCAGGCUGUCAGCCAGACAGAAAAUAUUAAACUAAAUGAUCAUUUCAGUGUAAGCCAUGAAUGACAGUCUUUGCUUGUAACAGAACUGUGGAUGUGUGGAUAUGGGCAGUUGUAAAAUGAUGAGUGGUAGGGAAUGUGUAUGUAUUUACAUUAGAUACUACUCUGCACAUUACUGUGCAUUCAUAAAACAUGACAAUAAUUCUUGGUCUGUUGUAAGUUUUUAGUUGUUAGGAUCAUACAAAAUCAUAUUCUCCUCCCUCAGAUGCUGUGAAGUGAUGGAGUCCAGAUGCUACAGGCACAGAAAAAGAUGCAGCAAUGGAGGAACACAGUGAGCACCUUCCAGGAAGAGCUGGAGGAUAGUAGAAAUAAAGACUCUAAAAUAAAAUUUUACUUGUGUUGUCCAUAUUUCUGUUUUGUAGGUUUUUUUUUUCUUAUUAGAUGUGUCUGUUUGACUGUGAUGUAAAUCUGUGACUAUAUGAACAAUAAAUAAUUUGCUUAAUUGUAACACUAUUGCAUCCUCAAAUAAUGUAUUAAUUAUGAUUUACAGGUGAUUACAAUGUCAUAAAGUCGUUCAGGUAUAACUGGACCGAAAUCGGACCUGAUUGCAUUUCAAUGCUUUAAAUAAUAAGUUUUUAACGCGUACGCGUUUUAAAAACAAACCUGAACAUGGACCAAACGUCCAGAACAUGAUAAAUUUCGACGUGCAGGAACCGUGUAGAAAAGACGUGCGAUUCACGGCCAGAUGGCGAAAAAGACCUCGGUUGCAUUUUAAUUUUGGUACUACUUUUCAACUACGCGACGUGAAUUGUUUAACACAAAACAAAAAAAAGUGUCCAGCACCAAAUCCUCCAUAGAUCAAUAAGAUUUAAACAGAGCUUUAUAUAAUAAGUCAACUCCACUGAUAAUGAUAAUAUUUUAGCGAUUAUAUUUUAUCUCAAAGAAGAAUUUUACUAAUUUACAAGAGAGGCAUAAAAAGGGAAGGACAUUAUUAAUUAUUACUGUUAUUGUUUUAUUAUUCAGAUGACCAAUUUCUGAAUAGUGAGGUUAUUUGUGCCUACCAGUUUGUUAUUUGUCCAAUAAAUCAUAAUACAUUUUUUCUUUCUCUUGUGGACUGAUAAUUUAUGGACUAUUUUAGCCCAACCCUUCAUGUUUGUUAUUCAAUCUUUUAUGUUUGAAACACUAAUGUCCACUUAUUAUUGACUGUGAUAAACAACUUUAAUACGUUUAUAUGCUUUGGUAAAAUAUCACCUCACUGAUGGUUUUUUUAAUAUUUUUUAUUAUUGACUUCAAUAACAAAGAUACAAAAUCCAAUUUUAUACAAAAAACAGUGAUAUUAACAGAUCA
Molecule: long non-coding RNA, 2785 nt
Filed under: Danio rerio (zebrafish)
Lineage: Eukaryota; Metazoa; Chordata; Actinopteri; Cypriniformes; Danionidae
Description: lncRNA (ENSDARG00000117451.1)
Source: RNAcentral